RNAcentral lists this ribosomal RNA (476 nucleotides) under uncultured bacterium. RNAcentral's name for it is "bacterial SSU rRNA". It matches the Rfam family "Bacterial small subunit ribosomal RNA", at positions 70 to 540 of the family's 1533-position model. The record is from RNAcentral.
ACAGGCGUAGCAAUACGUGCUGACGAGCGGCGAACGGGUGAGUAAUGCUUCGGAAUCUUCCUCGUAGUGGGGAAUAACCUGGGGAAACUCAGGCUAAUACCGCAUACGAACUACGGUUGAAAGCAGGGGAUCGCAAGACCUUGCGCUAUGAGAUGAGCCGAAGUCGGAUUAGCUAGUUGGUGGGGUAAAGGCCUACCAAGGCGACGAUCCGUAGCUGGUCUGAGAGGACGACCAGCCACACUGGGACUGAGACACGGCCCAGACUCCUACGGGAGGCAGCAGUGGGGAAUAUUGGACAAUGGGGGCAACCCUGAUCCAGCGACGCCGCGUGUGUGAAGAAGGCCUGCGGGUUGUAAAGCACUUUUAGUGGGGACAAAAAGCCGAGGGUUAAUACCCGUCGGUCUUGAUUUAACCCAAAGAAAAAGCACCGGCUAACUCUGUGCCAGCAGCCGCGGUAAUAAGGGCGAAUUCGCCCU